UGGGCGAGCAAAGUCUCAGCCAAUGCGUG
Molecule: small RNA, 29 nt
Filed under: Bombyx mori (domestic silkworm)
Lineage: Eukaryota; Metazoa; Arthropoda; Insecta; Lepidoptera; Bombycidae
Description: ovarian small RNA-35011
Source: RNAcentral